Molecule: ribosomal RNA, 153 nt
Filed under: Aeromonas veronii
Lineage: Bacteria; Pseudomonadati; Pseudomonadota; Gammaproteobacteria; Aeromonadales; Aeromonadaceae
Description: partial 23S ribosomal RNA
Rfam family: Bacterial large subunit ribosomal RNA (bases 1-134)
Source: RNAcentral
CCCUGAGAUGAGUCAUCCCUGACCCCUUGAGGGUCCUAAAGGGCCGUUGGAGACCACAACGUUGAUAGGUGGGGUGUUUAAGCGCGGCGACGUGUUGAGCUAACCCAUACUAAUUACCCGUGAGGCUUAACCAUACAACACCCAAGAAGUGUU